GACAGAGGAUGCAAGCGUUAUCCGGAAUGAUUGGGCGUAAAGCGUCUGUAGGUGGCUUUUUAAGUCCGCCGUCAAAUCCCAGGGCUCAACCCUGGACAGGCGGUGGAAACUACCAAGCUGGAGUACGGUAGGGGCAGAGGGAAUUUCCGGUGGAGCGGUGAAAUGCGUAGAGAUCCGGAGGAACACCAGUGGCGAAGGCGACACGCUGGGCCGUACCUGACACUGAUGCGCGACAGCAUGGGGAGCAAACAGG
Molecule: ribosomal RNA, 253 nt
Filed under: uncultured bacterium
Lineage: Bacteria
Description: partial 16S ribosomal RNA
Rfam family: Bacterial small subunit ribosomal RNA
Source: RNAcentral